UACGUAGGGGGCAAGCGUUGUCCGGAAUCAUUGGGCGUAAAGCGCGCGUAGGCGGCCCUGUAAGUCCGCUGUAAAAGUCAAAGGCUCAACCUUUGAAAGCCGGUGGAUACUGCGGGGCUAGAGUCCGGAAGAGGCGAGUGGAAUUCCUGGUGUAGCGGUGGAAUGCGCAGAUAUCAGGAGGAACACCAAUAGCGAAGGCAGCUCGCUGGGACGGUACUGACGCUAAGGCGCGAAAGCGUGGGGAGCAAACAGG
Molecule: ribosomal RNA, 253 nt
Filed under: uncultured bacterium
Lineage: Bacteria
Description: partial 16S ribosomal RNA
Rfam family: Bacterial small subunit ribosomal RNA
Source: RNAcentral